UGCCACCCGUGGGGCUGUUCCCCUCCUCAGAGAGGGGAAUGGGGCUGGUCAAAGGACCCAGGGAUCACCCUUUCACUUUUUUCCCCCACCCCCAUGUCAGGCUCAGGUGAGAAGCCGAGGCCAGGCUGUCCAAAGCUCUUUUCAUGUGUAACAGUCCUGAGUCCCUUGAUCUCCCCUUGGCCCAACUCUGGCCUUGGUUCCACUAAGGCAGAGUCCUCUUGUCUCUUCCUACCAUCCCCCACUGGACUGUCUCUCUCAGAAACCCCAGGCAGCCUUGCCUCCUGACCUAAUUCCUGGAGAUGCUGGUGUUCCUGGGAGGAAUUUCCCCUGCAUCUUACGUGCUAGAAGCCCCUGGGGCAAGAGGUAGGGGGAGGAAUUGAGAGGAGGAAAAACGUGAACUGGAUACCUAGAGAAGAAGGAUGUGACUUGUAGUCUCCUAUGUCUAAAUUAGGAAUAUGAAUCUGGUUUUUCUACAAGAAACUUGAGAUCACAGCUGACUGUGUUCCUGAUGCAUCCACCAAACCCAGUUCCAUCUGUGGGCCUCCCUGGCUCUGUCACCAGCCCUUGCACCCUCCUGAUCACAGGAGUCACAAACCUCAGACGUGCAGCUCCUGUCCACACUUAAUGUAUGCAUGCACAUUGGAUCACCCAGCCCUGGUCUUUCUGCUUCCAUGGAUAACUGCAUGACCCCGAGAGGGAACCUCCUUAGAUUUAGCAUCCUAGGUUCCUCACACGCCUCACCCUGAAACCUGGCCCUCCCGCAGCCCCAGCACCAGCACCAUUUGUCCCAUCAGUGACCAGAUUCAUAUUCUGGUGUAGCCUCUGUUGCCGGAGCCAGUGCUGAACCAGUCCGCCUCUUCCCCGGGAAGUGCCCUCCCUUCCCUCCUGUUAGGGUUGGCUCUUGAGCUUGUGUGCCAGUUCCUGGGUUGGCCGUGAGAGUUCUACAGACAAGGGGGAAGUGCUCUCGGUGUAUUUCCUGUGGUGGGUGUACAUGCAGCUAGACACAGCUAACUUGAGUCUUGGAGCUCCUAGAGGGGAGCUUCUGGAAAGGAAGCUUCUUCAGGACCUCUCGGAAGCCAGGUAGGAGUCUGGAACUACUAGUGAACCUAGACCUGUAGCUCUGGCCAGAGGGGCUAGGACGAGAGACGGAGGGUGUGAUGGUGAGUGCUGGGAGUUGCAGCCGACCUUGGGGCUGGUGGCUGGGGGAGUGGGGAGCCUGGGAAAGGCCAGGAUGUGGAUGGGCUGGUAUGGCAUUGAGCCUGAAAUGGUCCAACUUGGGGUCCCCAGUGCCUAGGAAAGUUGUCCCCUUGAAUAUUAGUGUGAAGGUGAAGGAGGAAGCAGAUGCCUGUUCAUAUGGAAACAAAGACCUGGCUGUGAAGAGGGGAGGUGAACACCAAAGUCCUGACACUUGGAUGGGACAGAAUUGAUCUGUGAGAGACUCUUACCUAGUUCACACCUAGGUGACCCUGGGGGUGGCGUGGGGGUAGGUUAGAGAUCCCAGUCUGGUAUCUGGAGAGUAGGGGUCCCAAGAACUGAAGGUUUUUGGCCACUGAACUUUGGCUAAAGCAGAGGUGUAACAGCUGCUCAGGAUUCCCUGGUUAAAAAGUGAAAGUGAAAUAGAGGAUGGGGGCAGUGCUUUCCCAGAAGGAUUGCUCGGCAUCCUGCCCUUCCCAGAAGCAGCUCUGGUGCUGGAGAGAGCACUGCCUCCCUGUGUGACUGGGUGAGUCCAUAUUCUCUCUUUGGGUCUCAAUUUUGCUUUCCCUAAUGAAGGGGUAAGAUUGGACUAGGUAAGCAUCUUAUAACCAUUUGUGGUCCUGAGAGCUGGCGUGGGGAAAGAUUGUCACUUGAUGACCCCCCCAGCUCUGUUUCUGAGUGCUGAAGGAGCUCCAGGCUAUGCUAUGGGAGGAAAAGCCAGCUACUGAGAAAAAGCGGGAGUGGUUUACCAUUCUCCUCCCCCACCUUUCACCAGAGAAGAGGACAUUGUCACAGAUAAAGAGCCAGCUCACCAGCUCCUGACACAUGCAUCAUGACCAUGAGACACAACUGGACACCAGACCUCAGCUUCUUGUGGGUCCUGCUGUGUGCCCACAUCAUCACUCUUCUGGUCAGAGCCACACCUGUCUCGCAGACCACCACAGCUGCCACUGCCUCAUCUAGAAGCACAAAGGACCCCUGCCCCUCCCAGCCCCCAGUGUUCCCAGCAGCUAAGCAGUGUCCAGCAUUGGAAGUGACCUGGCCAGAGGUGGAAGUGCCACUGAAUGGAACGCUGACCUUAUCCUGUACGGCCUGCAGCCGCUUCCCCAACUUCAGCGUGCUCUACUGGCUGGGCAAUGGUUCCUUCAUUGAGCACCUCCCAGGCCAGCUGUGGGAGGGGAGCACCAGCCGGGAACAUGGGAGCACAGGUACGCAACUGUACAAGGCCUUGGUGCUGGAGCAGCUGACCCCUGCGCUGCACAGCACCAACUUCUCCUGUGUGCUCAUGGACCCCGAACAGGUUGUCCAGCGUCACGUCAUCCUGGCCCAGCUCUGGGCUGGGCUGAGGACAACCUUGCCCCCCACCCAAGAAGCCCUGCCCUCCAGCCACAGCACAGGGCCACAGCAGCAGGGUUAAGACUCAGCACAGGGCCAGCAGCAGCACGACCUUGACCAGAGCCUGGGUCCUACCCGUCUACCUGAAGUGAACAGUCCCUGACUGCCUGCAGGCUGUGUGGGCGAGCAACGCACCCCCUCCUCCUCUGCUUUGGGUCCCUUCUCUCACCAAAUUCCAACUCCAUUCCCACCUACCUGGAAAAUCGCAGCCUCCUUAUAAUAAUGCCUCCUCCUCCUCCUGCCAUUUUCUCUCUACCUACCCCAUUAGCUUUCCUAACAUCCUACUCCUCACACUGCUCUACUGCUCAGAAACCACCAAGACUGUUGAUGCCUUAGCCUUGCACUCCAGGGCCCUACCUACAUUUCCCACAUGACUUUCUGGAUGCCUCCAGCUAUUCCUGCUUUCCCCAGACAGCUCCCACUCCCAUGUCUCUGCUCGUUUAGUCCCGUCGUCCUCACCAUCCCAGCAGGGGAACUCUGAAGCCUGGUUGAAACGCCACGUCUUCAAUGAAGUUACCCUUGUUCAGCUCUGGCCACAUUCUGCAGACUUCAUGUCUUCUUUCUGAGCAGAGGCCAGUAAUGGAGACUGGGAAGAGCCUGGAAAGAUGCGCCUCCAGGAAAAGGGAUGACAGAAAGGAGGUGGUCUGAAAGACUCAGUGGGGACAAGGUAGGCUCCAAAGAGCCUAGAUUUCCCCUCCUUUUCCCACAUAGAUCAAGGCAAUUCAGUACUCACGGGAGAAAAAUAGACUUUAUUUACAAGUAAUAACAUUUAGAAAAGAUCCAUCCCCGGCCCUUAAAAACCUUCCCAUCACUCCAAAUCCCACCCCAGUGCAAGUCUGGGGAAGGUAGGGUGUGAGCUGCCGCUGAAGGCUGUCCCCUAACCCCACUCCUGAGACACAGGCCCAUCAUCCUGGGAAAGAGCAUCCUCUGGCAGGUGCUCCCACCAGGUCAGACCCAGUCCUGGACUUCAAGAGUGAGGGCCCCUGCUAGGCCCAGCCUCCAGGAGAGCAGGAACCAGGGCCUACUCCUCUUAUGGUCCCUUCUAGAUCCAGAGGCUAAGAGGAAGACUGGCCAGGCCCAAGGACCCAGCCAUCAAAACCAGCCUCAAAUCUGGUUGUGAUGGAGAAGUGACUUUGCUUUAA
Molecule: non-coding RNA, 3731 nt
Organism: Chlorocebus sabaeus (green monkey)
Lineage: Eukaryota; Metazoa; Chordata; Mammalia; Primates; Cercopithecidae
Source: RefSeq, a predicted model, not a curated record